RNAcentral lists this ribosomal RNA (939 nucleotides) under Triticum aestivum (bread wheat). RNAcentral describes it as "partial small subunit ribosomal RNA". The record is from RNAcentral. Lineage: Eukaryota; Viridiplantae; Streptophyta; Magnoliopsida; Poales; Poaceae.
AUGGCGCAGCCUCUGCAACGCAGCGUGGGACGAGCCGCCCUCCUCCACGGCCCGCCUGCACGCGGCCUUCAUCUUCAUGGCCUUCUCCCUCGCCAUGGCACCCUCCUCCCCCGACCCGCCGCCCAUCACGCAUCUCACGGCCCGCUCAAGCUCCGCCGCCUCCACGAAGUUGUCCCGCUCCCUGUCCACCUCCAUCGCCACGGCCACGCCCACGACGGACGCGAGCUCGAACGCGUUCAGGUGCUGCUCCGCGUACAGCGGCCACGGCACCAGCGGCACGCCGUGCCACAUGCUCUCCAGCGUCGAGUUCCACCCGCAGUGCGUCACGAAGCAGCCCACGGCGGCGUGCGCCAGUAUCUCCUUCUGCGGGGCGCGCCUCGGCCACACCAGGCCCCGCCCCUCCGUCCGCUCCAGGAACCCCUCCGGGAGGAGCUCGUCCAGGUUCGCGUCCGUCGGGUGCCGCGAGCCGGCCGCCGGAGGGCCGCGCAGCGUCCACAGGAAGCGGUGCCCGCUGCGCUCCAGCCCCGCGGCCACCUCGUGCGCCUUGGCUCUAUCGAACCAUCCCAGGCUCCCGAAGCAAAGGAACACCACCGACGCCCGGGGCUGCGCGUCGAGCCACCGGACGCACGGCUCGUUCGACGCUUCGACGGCGUGGUCGAUCACCGGACCGAUCGGGUACAGCGGCGGCGCGCGUCGUCCGGGCACGCACCGGCCUGCGGCUAUCGCGGCGAGGAGUCCUGCCUCGAGCGCGUCCACCGUGUUAAUGACGAUGCCGUCGGCGUCCAUGAAGCGACGGCCGUGGUACACGAACCACGCGUAGUUAGGGCUCUUCUUAUCGCCCAGGAACCCAGGAACAGACCCCGCGGGAACCGGCGGCAUGCCGGGGACGUCCACGGUGCCGUCGUCGGACGCGUCGGAGUCGACGGCCAGCGCCGGUAG